ACUGGAGUGACCUUCCUUGGUGACCCCAGCACAGGAACUGGACUACCCAGGGGCACCAUGAUCUACGCCAACCAACCAGUUCCACAACAGGCUCCAGCGUUUUACUGGGAGCUGGAGAUCUGAUCGUUUGGAGACAGUCAGGAGGAGAGUGGUGCAGUCAUCUCGUUUGGCUUCGCUCCGUCGGCUGACAAGAAAGAUGGAGCCUGGACUAACCCUGUAGGAACAUGCCUCUUCCUAAACAAUGGUAAGGCUGUCCACUACAGUAGGGCCAGUCUACUGCAGUGGAGGAGUGUUAGACUAGACAUCACCCUGAAUCUUGGCUACGUAGCGGGUAUAGGUUGGGAGAGGAC
Long non-coding RNA from Saccostrea cuccullata (small rock oyster), 350 nucleotides. RefSeq lists it as uncharacterized. The transcript has 3 exons. NCBI's taxonomy places the organism in Eukaryota, Metazoa, Mollusca, Bivalvia, Ostreida, Ostreidae. The record is from RefSeq and is a predicted model, not a curated record.